RNAcentral lists this ribosomal RNA (218 nucleotides) under uncultured eukaryote. RNAcentral's name for it is "partial small subunit ribosomal RNA". The stretch from base 93 to 218 matches the Rfam family "Eukaryotic small subunit ribosomal RNA", at positions 737 to 864 of the family's 1831-position model. The record is from RNAcentral. RNAcentral also lists the same sequence under 1 other name.
GCCUUUGCCGCCCGGUCCGCCUAUUUGGGUGUGUACUGGAGCGGUGGAGGCUUACCUCGUGGUGAGCUGUUAUGCCCUUUACUGGGUGUGGCAGGGAACCAUGAUUUUUACUUUGAAAAAAUUAGAGUGUUCAAAGCAGGCUUACGCCCGAAUACAUUAGCAUGGAAUAAUAAAAUAGGACGUGCGGUCCUAUUUUGUUGGUUUCUAGGAUCGCCGUA